UACGAGGGGUGCAAGCGUUAUUCGGAGUGAUUGGGCGUAAAGGGUGUGUAGGCGGUAUGUUAAGUCAAUUAGUUAAAUUUCUCAGCCCAACUGAGAAACUGCUGUUGAAACUAGCAUACUAGAGGAUGGAAGAGAGAAGUGGAAUUCUCGGAGUAGCGGUAAAAUGCGUAGAUCUCGAGAGGAACACCAAUGGCGAAGGCAGCUUCUUGGUCCAUUCCUGACGCUGAGGCACGAAAGCGUGGGUAGCAAACAGG
This 254-nucleotide unclassified non-coding RNA is filed under the name uncultured bacterium. Its description in RNAcentral is "contains 16S-23S intergenic spacer region". It matches the Rfam family "Bacterial small subunit ribosomal RNA", at positions 524 to 776 of the family's 1533-position model. The record is from RNAcentral.